Molecule: long non-coding RNA, 1817 nt
Filed under: Homo sapiens (human)
Lineage: Eukaryota; Metazoa; Chordata; Mammalia; Primates; Hominidae
Description: non-protein coding lnc-XPR1-1:1
Source: RNAcentral
CAAGAAGUGGCUAGCACACUGCAGACCUUGGAAAGCUAUGAACAAGAGGAACAUGGUUUGGAAAUGUUUGUCCCAGCCACCAUGUCCAGAUGAGGAAACAGAAUUCCAUGGAAGUGGAAUGACCAGCACUUGGUCCCACAGCUGGAUGUGGCCCAGCCAGGGCUGAAGCCAGACGGUGGAGUCUCAGCCUGGACUGUUCAGACUUGGGUCUUUCCCUCCAUCCUUCACCCACCACACACCUUGAUUUAACCCAGGAAAAAACUUUCCAGUGGGCCACAGAAAUGGAGCAGAUUCUGCUCGGAUAGAGACUGCUUCUGAGGUUCAUCUGUGUCUUCAGCAGAAUCCCCCAGGCUGGUGGACGCAGGAGGGAGCGAGGAGGCAGGAGUCCCCACGGACAUGGCUGCACAGCCUGGGGCCACAGGGCUUCCAAGAGGGAGCCAGUCUGCAGCAGAAAAGCCCAGAGGGCAGCUUCCGCACACACACAAGCACAGCCCCCACCCCCGACACUGCAGACAGGGCCUCUUCCGGAAGGCGCUCCCCCAAGCUCAUGUCCCACAGCCUGGGCUUGUUGGAGGCCAUCUGGCCUGCAGAUGCUGGUGAGCCUCCAUGGUGUCUGUCCCCACUGUGGCAGGGACAAAGUCCCCAAGAGGAAGAGAGGACCUGACUGCUCUUCAGAGCUUGACACACAGCACCCCCAGCCAGAAGCUGACCUCCCACUUGUUUGAGGCAGUGUUCAAGGGGCUGUCCACAGCAAGAGAGAUGGGACUGGGCUCCAUCUCCAAAGAGGCCUCCCUGAGCCAGCACAGAGGAAGGACAAAGAAAAGAUUGAAAAAAGCAGAGUUGGGGCUCUCUGGUGCCAUUGCGCUGCCUCCAUUCAGCUAAGAUGCCCUGCCUCUCCUUCCACCUAAAGCAGCUUCUGCCACUUAGGAGACCCCCCUCUCCCCAAACACUGAAUGGCACGGGUUGGCCAGCUUAGGAACUCCGUUGACUAAGCCAGACCUUCCUCCUUUCCGCCUGCCCCUAGAGUGUGAGAGGGCACAGCAAGCAGCUGUCCUCCCUGCUGGUGGUCACCACCUCCAGCACUGGCUCUGUUUCCCUUUGAACAUUAAUUAGCAGGUGGGUUCUGAUUUGAGAGUGAAGCAUUCUUUGGGGGUGCCCAGCUGAGAGCAGUGGUCUGGUGGAGCAGCGUGCAGGACUCUCUGGAAGGCUCACCCGUUAUAGCAGAGCUGGAAAUGUGAUUUCCAGGCCUGAGUCGGAUGGUGGGGGAGGGUCGCCCUCCAGCCUGGUGACUGGAGGUGAAUUCCCGGAUCUCCUGGGUCUUGGCUUCUUCCUCUGUGAACUCUGACUUGGGGGUUGUUGGGAGGUGAUUUAGUGCUGUUCUAACAUAUGCUGGUAUCUGCCCUUCACAACGCGGGGACAGAGGCGGAUGGCAGUGUUUUCACUGCUGUCCCUGUGGACAUGGAGGGUGCUAUGUGGGGAGAAGUGCCACAACCCAAAAUCUCAGCACAUUAGUCCUGAGUGGAAAACCUCCUCUGACAGUUUCUUCAGCAAGCAAAGUGCAUUUCUACUGUGCUGAUCACCCUCAUCCCACUUGAUCAUGUUCAUACCCAGACCUGAGCUAGACCCUCAACCAAAUUAGUCCCCAGCCAAUCUGGGACCUCUUGGAGACCGUAGGGUAAGGAAAAGUGGUGAGGGACAUAGCUUACUUGAGCUUAGGAUUCCUUUGGUUCCUGAAGGUAAGGAGGGAAACACUUGGGCUGAUGGAGGGCCUAUUUCAGGUCUCACCAACAAAGAAGGGACAGGUGAAAUAAGAAUAC